RNAcentral lists this ribosomal RNA (253 nucleotides) under uncultured bacterium. Its description in RNAcentral is "partial 16S ribosomal RNA". It matches the Rfam family "Bacterial small subunit ribosomal RNA", at positions 524 to 776 of the family's 1533-position model. The record is from RNAcentral.
UACGUAGGGGCCUAGCGUUGUCCGGAUUUAUUGGGCGUAAAGAGCUCGUAGGUGGUUUGUCGCGUUGUCCGUGAAAACUCACAACUCAAUUGUGGGCGUGCGGGCGAUACGGGCAGACUGGAGUACUGCAGGGGAGACUGGAAUUCCUGGUGUAGCGGUGGAAUGCGCAGAUAUCAGGAGGAACACCGGUGGCGAAGGCGGGUCUCUGGGCAGUAACUGACGCUGAGGAGCGAAAGCGUGGGGAGCGAACAGG